GGGUGCGAUAAUACCAGCACUAAUGCACCGGAUCAUAUCAGAACUCUGUAGUUAAGCGUGCUUGGGCGAGACUAGCACUAGGAUAGGUGACCUCUUGGGAAGUCCUUGUGUUGCACCCC
Molecule: ribosomal RNA, 119 nt
Filed under: Gossypium raimondii (Peruvian cotton)
Lineage: Eukaryota; Viridiplantae; Streptophyta; Magnoliopsida; Malvales; Malvaceae
Source: RNAcentral